Long non-coding RNA from Coregonus clupeaformis (lake whitefish), 299 nucleotides. RefSeq lists it as uncharacterized. The transcript has 3 exons. Lineage: Eukaryota; Metazoa; Chordata; Actinopteri; Salmoniformes; Salmonidae. The record is from RefSeq and is a predicted model, not a curated record.
GGGAAGAGCAGAAAUACGUCAAGCUGUCUGAGCUGACAUUCAAUGCUUUCUUGAAAGAAGUGUGUCUAAAAUUCAACAUACCAGAAAGCAGAAAGCCAGACAUUAAGGUGUAUGACCAGUCUGACACAGAAGUUGACUCAGAUGUUUUUGAAGAAUUAGUAAAGGAGUCACCUGGAACUUUCAGAAUCAUGCUGGGCAAUGGACUUGAUACCUCUCAUUCAUCAUCAUGCUCGGGUACAUCUGAUGACACCAUCAUUCUGAAUUUCACUGUGUGUGACGAUGUUGAAGAAGUAGCGGCU